Cryptotermes secundus is the source of this 980-nucleotide long non-coding RNA. RefSeq lists it as uncharacterized. The transcript has 4 exons. NCBI's taxonomy places the organism in Eukaryota, Metazoa, Arthropoda, Insecta, Blattodea, Kalotermitidae. The record is from RefSeq and is a predicted model, not a curated record.
ACGGCCGGUUUGAAUAGCAGGCGGACGGUAGAAAUAUGAAAGAAUAGGAAUACUUAAGCUCUCUGCUGUUAAUAAUAGAAUUAAUACUCGCAGAGACUAUCAGGUAAUAGUUCUGAGGAAAUCCAUUCUCCAUGGUGAAGGACUCUGUUUGGCAUGAAGUGAGCAGAGAGCAUCCAGGAAUUCAUCACAUGCCCCUUGCAUGUCACCUGUGAGAAGCUUGACUGCUCCGAGGAAGGAGUGCCCAAGAUCCUUUCCUCUCACACAGCCAUUGCCCACCAAUUAGGAGCCCUGGAGGGUCGUCAAUGGAGGAACUACUGUCUCAGCUGCCAGAGGAUGUGAUUGAGUCUGGUCUUAACAAGGAGGAUCCAGGAAGUGUUCCCCCUCCCUUCUGCAUUCCAUCUACAGGGAGGGCAUGUCACCAGGUGCCAGCAGCAGGGAGUCCGUGAAGCAAAGGAGUCUGGUGACAUCCAGCGAGAAAGUCAUUGUUCCAACAAUGUCAUUGUGUUGGCGUUGAACAAGGGUGAUCUAGGGAGGCAGCUCUCUCCUCCCUGCAAAGAGGACGUCGACUUUAGACUCAGGAAGGAUAUGCAUCAAAUUCUCCUCGUUAUGGUCUGAAAACUGCAAGGAGUUUCUGCAGCAAAUGUACAUGUCACACGUAGACCUAAUUAAGGGGUGUGUUGUGGGGAAAUUGACAGUCAGUAGGGCUGCUUUGGUUUGCAUAUUGCAGUGGAACGCCCCUUUAAUAUUCUUUCAGUGACCCCAAGUCAAUACUCUUGGUGGUAAAUUCCUUCCAUUUAAGAUUUUCAUCACUUUAGAGUCCAAAUGCACUUCUUCCAAAGGAAACCUUACACAUAGGGUGACCAACUCUCCCGUAUUAGAGCUAAUUUUUUUGGAUACUCCUGGCUCCCGUAUUGACCUUCUAUUUCUCCCGUAUAUUUCAUUAACAAUCAAGGUCGCAAAAUUUAAAUUAUAUAUUAUUC